RNAcentral lists this long non-coding RNA (2865 nucleotides) under Cottoperca gobio. RNAcentral describes it as "lncRNA (ENSCGOG00000000246.1)". Lineage: Eukaryota; Metazoa; Chordata; Actinopteri; Perciformes; Bovichtidae. The record is from RNAcentral.
GAGGAGGUCGCUCAUGUAACAAUGUUAAUGCCAAACGAUUAAAUCCUAAAGGAGAAGAUUUUAUUUUAGCAACGGAAGUCCUUAUUUUCAUGUUCCGUUGAUUUCUGCUUUUUGAGGUUCGCUUUCAUCGAGAAGAAGUCAAAACAUUUCCAUUUAAAAUGACAUAGUCCUACGUGUUCAAGAUGUCUAACACCAAACUACUGCAGUUACGGAGCUUUUUAACGGAGCGCUUUUCUGCUGUGGCCGCGGAGAUAUUUGGAGAAAUCGAAACUGUAGUGGAGGCGUGUAAUGAGGAAAACAAACGCCUGCGGGAUGUGUUGCACAUGGUGCUUAACCCCGAGAUAAAGUUAUCAAAGAUAGAUGUUGGCCAAUACACUGGAGCAACAGAUGAGCCCUCUAAGCUGAACUCUAGGCAGGACCAGGAAACACCAGAGCCACUGCCUAAAAAAGUUAAAGAAGAGAAUAUUGAAUAUGACAUAAAUUGGGGAUCAGAACAACAACAAGGGCCGGGGGAAGUUAAUAACUUUAUUACCCCAGAGCGUGUGAAAACUGAAACCGAAGAAGAAAACGCAAGCAUGCCCUUCAUCACUAACUCAUUUCAUAUCACAGGUGUUGAGUUCAAUCCCAACUCUUCAGGUACUGAUGAAGAGAAGGACAGUUACCCACCGGACUUGGAUGCAAUCACAGAUUACCCACAGAUAUCCAGCAUGAAUGAAACUCAGGAACCUCAAAAACAUUAUAAAAUGUCAACAAGAAGCUUAACGAAGCCAAAGUUGUCCCUGCAGAAAACGAUGCUAGAAUUACCAAGAAUGGUGCCGCACCAAUCUGUCGCUCCUACCUCAACUGACUGCCAGUCCUUUUUGGCAAGGCUCACCGAAGCCUUCAAGGAUUUUCCAGAUGACAAGAAGCCUCUGAUAACCAAAAUGGGCCUCACAAAUAAUGUGGAAUUAGUGGACUGUGUAUUGGGUAAAGUCCCUAAAGGUAGCCCCCUGUCCUACCAGUGCCGCGUGCCAUCAGGUCGGGAUUACAAGAUUUAUGACGAUGCUCCCCCCCGGCCUCUGCUUCCCCUGGCUAACCACAGUCUGGAGCCAUUGUUGGCUCUUCCUAUCCUCAGUGUGAGGGAGCAGGAACACAUUGACGUCAUGCAGAUCACCUGGGAGGCAGCACGCAGUCUGGAGCACUCCACACGUGGACGCAAGGAGGCAGUAGAGGAGCUGCGAAAUCUGCGCCUGACAAGCCGUUUCAGGGAGAUCUGCAAUCUUAAACCAGGAAUGAGCAAUGCGGAGCACCUGAUAUUCAAGAUGCGGAAAGGAUUCCACAGGGGCAAGGCGGCUCAGAUAGAGGACGAGAUGAAGGCCGAAGCACUCCGGGAGUACUGUAAGCAUUUGUGCGUCAACUGGUCCACCUGCGGUUUGGUUGUCCAUCCGAAUGCUCCGUGGCUGGGGGCGCUGCCUGACGGGUUGGUGUACGACCCCAAGGAGACACCCAGUUACGGGCUGGUGCAUGUCAAAUGCAUUGGGGACCGGAGCUUCGUCGAGUGCAAUUUCCUGUUCUAUCAGGACGGAGUCUUGCAACUGAAGAGGACCCACUCGACCUACUGGCACAUCCAAGGAGAGAUGAUGGUGACGGGCACGGAGUGGUGUGAUCUGUUGGUGUUCUCCAAAGAAGACAUGCUGGUUCAUCGCAUCUACCGAGACACGGCUAUCAUCAAGGUCAUGAAGAAGAAGUUAGAUGAUUUCUUUUUCUAUUACUACCUGCCAUGUCUGUUUAAAACAGAUGGCAUGGUUUGAGUUUUGUCACACUUCUGUCGUACAGUACUCGCUGUUCCCCUCAGGUCGUGAGUUUUAACAAAUAGCAAGCUACUUGAACGUGAUUAAUGAAAAACUACUGGCCUCAUUUGCAUGAAACUUGGUGGAAGGGUGUAGCAUGGGCCAAGGAAGAACCACUGUUGAGACAGCCAGAUCCCUGAUGCAAUUCAAAGCUUAAGUUUAUAUUUGCCAUCUUUCCCCUUCUUACUACUCUCCAAAGCUGCCCUGUUGUAGGACUGCACCGUCUGUAAAUAUUCUUUUUUUAUUAUUAUUGAUUAAUCUGCUGAUCUUUUAAGUGUCAGAAAAGUGUAAAACAUGUCUGCCUCAAUUUCCCAGAACCCAAGCUCACAUUGAUUAUGUCUGAUUGUUCAUUUACGAUUAAGAAAACCAUGGAAAUAUACACAUUUGAGAAGCUGGAACUUGGGAACAUUUGGGAUUUCUCCUUUAAAAAAUGACAUACAUGGUUCAUUGAUUAUUAAAAUUGUUGUUUUUUAUUAUUGAUUUGCCAACUAAUUGUUUGAGCGUUCUUUCUCGUGUUUAUUGGUUAAUGUUCUAUCAAGUAUCACAUAGGAAGCAUUGCAGGUUCAAAUGUUGGUACAAAUUGGGGAUGUUAAGAGACUCCCAAAGCAUAAUAAGUAAUAAAUGUUACUGCCGUUUUUAAACAGAAAAUGCUUUCUAUAGUGCAUUCUUGUUAUUCCCUUCUGCUCUGUUGUAUGUUACUCUUCUACUCUGACGGCAGCUGCAACAUUCAGGGAAGUUUAUAAUGAGUGGAGCACGCAGUUAAACAUCAAUACCGCAGUCGAUCAUGUUCAUUUAAUUGUGGGAAGCAGAAAACGUGAUUGCGAUUAAUAUUCAAUUAAUUGUGCAGCUCUAGUCAAUGACCAAAAACUGUUCAUCCACAAUGUACUGCAGCUGCUCUCAGCGAUUACACUUCAACAUCGCAAAUUGCAUAAUUUUUAACUUGAAAGGGCACUAAAUAUUUCAUGACAUUUUAUUACCUUCACUUGACAUUUCAACUCCUUUCAGCACUUUCACCUCAGCUGACACUUCACUCAGA